This 222-nucleotide ribosomal RNA is filed under the name Salmonella enterica subsp. enterica serovar Heidelberg. Its description in RNAcentral is "partial 16S ribosomal RNA". It matches the Rfam family "Bacterial small subunit ribosomal RNA", at positions 1 to 217 of the family's 1533-position model. RNAcentral also lists the same sequence under 20 other names. Lineage: Bacteria; Pseudomonadati; Pseudomonadota; Gammaproteobacteria; Enterobacterales; Enterobacteriaceae. The record is from RNAcentral.
UUAAAUUGAAGAGUUUGAUCAUGGCUCAGAUUGAACGCUGGCGGCAGGCCUAACACAUGCAAGUCGAACGGUAACAGGAAGCAGCUUGCUGCUUCGCUGACGAGUGGCGGACGGGUGAGUAAUGUCUGGGAAACUGCCUGAUGGAGGGGGAUAACUACUGGAAACGGUGGCUAAUACCGCAUAACGUCGCAAGACCAAAGAGGGGGACCUUCGGGCCUCUUG